UUAAAUGGAAGUGGUCAAGUGAAAGUGCCCAGCCACUACCUGCCCACGCAGAUGCUGGCGCCGCCACCUCCCCCCGGCAUGCCCCGCUUGGCCGUCUCUCCUGACACCAAAUCCACCACGACAACUACCGAGGGAGGGACGACCUCACCGACAUCACCCACCUACUCUGCACCAGGCACGCCCCCUGCGAACCGUUCCUUCGUGGGAUUAGGACCAAGGGAUCCUGGGAGUAUCUAUCAGGCACAGUCCUGGUACCUGGGAUAACCGCCGCCGUGCCGCCCCUUCGCCUCCCUUCUCCUCUGCUUUAGGCACCCCCAGAGGAACAUCCCCGUCCCCGAGCACCAGGCCCAGCCUUGCGGUGACGACGGAGAGCGCGGACUCACGACGACGACGACGACGACAAGCAAAACCCACACCCGAAGAAAAGAGCGAGGGAAAGGAAGAAGGAAAAGGAUCAAACUUUUUUAAAAAGGAAAAAAAAAAAUACAAACAAAACAACAACCCAUCCCAGGAGGACCUUCCCCCCCCACCCCGGCGAUGCGCCAGAAAACAAAGAAACAGAAAAAAAAAGAAAAAAAAACACUAUUAUUUGCCCCGUCGGCCGGCGCCACGCCGAGACCUGACACAACUCGUGCCAGCGAUGCCUCCCGGAGCAGCAGCGGGGCUGCGGCACCAGAGCCCUGCCGGCUGCUCGCCGGAGGGUCGGAUAUGCAAACGGCUCUUGACUCUCUCAUUCUUGCCUCUAUGUGAGUAGAAAAGAUCAAACCCCCCCCACCGCCCCUCCCGGCCCCACGCAGACUCUCGGGGGGCCCCGGGGCCAGGGUGGGGCGUGGCGGGGUGGGGGGGACACCUCCUGCCGCCGGUUCCCAACGGCUGCGGCCAUGCUCGCCGUCGGGGCGAUGUGAUGCUCCGUGUGGUGAAAGAGGAGCCCUGGGGACGGGCGACGCUGUGCUUCGGUGACACGGUGCCGUGGUGCUGCGGUGACGUGGUGAUGAGGUGGCCCAAUGGCCCGGUGGCCAGCUCGGCUUGGUACGAGCAGGUGUCACAGCAGGAGGGGGGUGGGGGCUGCGGAGGGUGCGAGGCAACGGGUGGAGAUGGUCACGGCGGCGGUGGCACCCCGAUUGCUGCGGGGACGCGGCGUGGGGACGCUCCCACCACGGCCCCAGCAGGACCCGGGCUGCCACCGUCAUGCCGGGACACCGGUCACCAUGUCUCUGCGAUGCCUUCCUCACCCCCCGGCGUGCACCGGCCCCGGCCCCACGUGUCCCCAUGUGUGUCCCUGUGUCCCCCUGCGUGUCCCCGCGCCGGGGGGGUCCGUGGGGCUGUGGUGUGGCGUGCGUCCGUGUGUCUGAGCUAUGCAUUCCUGUGGACAGGUACCAGGUGGAUGGCGAGGAGAGGGUGCGCUCGUGUUGCACAUUUUGUAGGAAAUGCACUUUUUAAGAGGGAAUCGUCAAAAAAAAAAAAAAGAAAAAGAAGAAAAGAAAAAAAAAAUCACAAAAAAGGAGGAGGAGGAGGAGGAGGAAGAGGAGGAGGAGACGGAGCCCCCGGCACUGGCUUGCCGGGAUGGCUGNCCCACGGAGCCCCUGGCCCCGCGUCAAGUGCCUCAACUGCGGCGGGGAGGGGUCCUGGGACCCCCGGAGGAGCCCCUGGCCAGGGGCAGCGCUGGAGGAAGCCCCCGGCUGUCCCCGUCCCGUGUGAUGGCAGCGUGGCCGGGAAGGGGACACGGGGACGUGGCAGUGCCUUAGAGCAGAAGGACCUACACGGCGGCUGAGGCGAGGAGGAGGAGGAAGAUGACGAAGGCACCCAGCGUCUCCAGCGAGAUGGUGGCGGCCACAGAGGAGGCUGGUCCCAGGCGUGUCCCCAAAGGGACCCCAGGGAGCCCACGCCCCAGGGGACACCCCACGGGUGAUGACAGAGAGAAGCCACCGUGGGAUGUCCGGCAGCAGGGGAUGUCACUGAGGUCACCACCACCACCCACCUGGCCCCCUCCCCUGGCACCCUGAGCUGCCCUGUGGACCACUGGAGUCGCAUCCCCCAUCCCACCGGCCCCUCACUCCGCCACGCUUCCCACCCCCCCGGGAUGGCACAGCCCGUGGCGCGGGACCGGGGAAAGNCCCCGUGGACCACUGGAGUCGCAUCCCCCAUCCCACCGGCCCCUCACUCCGCCACGCUUCCCACCCCCCCGGGAUGGCACAGCCCGUGGCGCGGGACCGGGGAAAGGGCUGACGCAGGAAAUCCCGGGAGACAGAAAAAAUAAUCAAAAAGGACAAGAAAAGGAGAAAACCCACAAAAAAAAGGAAAAAAAAAAAAAAAAAAAAAAAAAAAAAAANAAAGACAAAUAAACUGCAUGGUGCUUUAACAGGAUCUGGUGACCUGGCUCAACCCAGCCGCGGAUGGCUGAUGCUGUGCAUGGCAGACUGUAUUAACCGGCUCUACCUUCCCCCUUCAGCAAAAGAGAAAAAAAAAAGAGGAAAAAAACAAAAAAAUUCUGUAUAAAAGAAAAAAAAAGCCGUAAAAAAAAAAAAACACAAGAAAAAAAAAAUCCAUGUUUUCCUAAUUUGCACGAAAUUUUAUACCACAUGAUGUGCCUUGCCUUCGAAGACUAAGUAUUACCGGACCCGAUAUCAGUGCGAGGGAGUCGCUGCAUGCCCGGGGCUCCCGGGGGGCCGGGGGGGCCGGGGGCGGCUGCCCCCUCCCUCGCCUCCUGCAUGGCUUCUUCUCGGCCGGAAAAAAUCCCUUUUCUCUCUAUUAUUAUCAUUUUUUAACCAAUUUUCCCCCUCGGAAAUGUCUUCCAGUUGGUAAUACUGAUGCAUCCUCUGCGCCAACACACCGGAAUAUGCAAUAGCCGCUCGGCUGCACCGGCGAGGGGGGGUCCGGCCAGUGGGGUCCGGUGGGGGGGUCCGGCCACCCCUUUGCUUUGCCUCUCUCUUUUUUUUUUUUUUUUUUUUUUUUNNNNNNNNNNNNCCCACCAGGGUCAGAGCCCCCCCCUUAGCGCUCGGGAGAACCCAGGGCUCCGGGCGCGGCAGGACGGACGAGGACACGGUCGGGGUCCCCGUGGGGAGGACCAGGAGUGGAGACCCCCAUGGCCGAGCCGUCACAAGGGGCCACAGCAUCGCACACCCCCCUCCUUGGGGGCUGCCCCCCCCCACCCCCUUUUUAAUUAGUUUUCAAUGGCACGCAGGGCCGGGAGGGCUGAGCCUAGCUGCUCUCGUGACAGGAAUGGAACCGUGUGAAUGUAGCUGUGCCCCCCCCCCAGGGCUGGUGUCAGGGGGGGUUGAAGCCCCCCCCAACCUCCAUCCCGAUCAGCUUCAUCUCCGGGGGUCCGGCUGGUGCGGCGGGGAAUAGGCAAAGUCCUGGCAGGAGGUCCCCUCUCACCACCAGUUUGCCUGUUCCCUGCUGUGCCAACCGCCAAGCGGGGUUCCGACACCCCCAAAAAAUCCAGAAUUUGCCUUAAAACCCAAGCGUCCCGCCAGCCAGAGAGAGAGAAACGUACACCCCCAGCCCCCCUGAGGCUGAGGACUGACGCAGGUCGUGACACCGAUGGGCGGGUGGCACCGCGGGUCACUGCUGCUUUGUGAUGAAGAAACGUUGUCGUCAGCAUUUUUCUUAAUUUUGAAUUUUUUUUUUUUUUUAUGGUGUCCAGAAAUAUCAGUGGGGGGUGUCAUGUCCCACUGGGGUCUCGGCCACCAGUGCGGUUUGUUGGGGGUCCCACAGGGCAGGGGAACAUCCUUGGGAGACUCUUCUUUAUGCAAGGUGCAGUAUUGAUUUCUGCAAGGACAAUGCAACGCAGGGAGCGGGAGGUUAGCGUCCAGUUGGGGGAAAAUGUAAAAAAAUAGAACUAAAAAAAAAAAAAAAAAAAAAAAANAGGGUUUUAAGGCUAGAAAAGGAUCAGCUCAAAGCAAAAAAAAAAAAAAUUUUCAAAAGCAUUUCUCAGUGGUGACCAGAGUGACAGCCAGCGGAGGGAGGGAGGAGGGGGCACCCGGGGCAGCCCCCCCCUGUCCAGCCCCCCCAGCGAGCGUGGGGUCUGGGGGGAGGCGAGGGGCGCUGGCGCCCCUCAGGCCUGGGCCCCCCUGCCCUGAGGAAGCCCCUGGAGCCCCUGGCCCCACGGGGGCACCGGCUGGGGUCCCCCCCCCCCCCCCCNNNNNNNNNNNNNNNNNNNNNNNNNNNNNNNNNNNNNNNNNNNNNNNNNNNNNNNNNNNNNNNNNNNNNNNNNNNNNNNNNNNNNNNNNNNNNNNNNNNNNNNNNNNNNNNNNCUGCCUUUACCCCCGGGGCCGGCAGCACGUCUGGCCAGGCUGCGGCCGCAGCCCCCCAAAACCCGCCCUCGGCAAGAAAAGCACCUUAAAACAUGUUAAAAAAAGGCAAAAAAUAAUCAACUCGACACCCCCUUCCCCCAGCCCGGCGGGCAGCAGCAGGGGGGGUCGUGCCCGGGGGUUUUCCUUGGGGGUCCGGGGAGCCCCCGCCACCCCUGGUGUCUUUGCACUGCUCCCCCCGACACCCACCACCCCGGGGCCGCAGCCCCCCCGGCUCUGCCCAAAGGGAAUAUGCAAACUCCCCCCCAGACACCUUCCUGGGGGGCACCGGCCGCGUGGGGACAGGGGGGACGACCACUAAUUUUUAUUGUUUUUAUUUUUUUAAUCGUUCUCCCUUUUUUUUUUUUUUUUUUUUUCCAANACAAUCACCGCGCCCGGGGCUCCCGCGGGGGUUUCAUGCACUACAGUCUCUCCUAGAGGGUUUUUAGUCGGGCUCGUCGGCUUAAAAGAAUUAAUUAAAAAUAGUCCUUGUGACCUAUAAAUAAAAAAAAUUAACCUGUACAUAUAUAUAUAUAUCUCUCUCCACAUAUAUAUAUAUGGGGCUGCAGGGGCCGGAGGUGGGCGCGGGUCCCUGCGGGCCGACACACAGUUAAGGUACUUUAAAGCGCAAAGGAAUAUAUAUAUAUAUAAAACCCUAUAUAUAUAUAUAUAUGUCUUGUUUGUUGUUGUUUUGUUUCGUUUUUUUUUUUUUUGUACUAUGAGUUUGGAAUUGCUGCUUUCUGUCCCCCAGCCUCCCGCCGCCGCCUGGGCCGGGCCGCACCCAUGGGUGCCCCCCCCGUGCAGCAGCACCCACGGGUGCCCCCCGUGCGAUGCCCGCAGGCGGGCGGGAGCGGAGGUGGAGACAGAGCUUGGACGGGGGCGGGGGGGGGGG
Molecule: long non-coding RNA, 5181 nt
Filed under: Strix occidentalis caurina (northern spotted owl)
Lineage: Eukaryota; Metazoa; Chordata; Aves; Strigiformes; Strigidae
Description: lncRNA (ENSSOCG00000014670.1)
Source: RNAcentral